GGUCCAGGCCGCUCACCUUAAGGACGCAGAGUGGCGUCAGAUUUGGAGAAGCGCCGGGGACCGUGGAGGAAGUCAUCGGCCUGGAUUUCUUUGGAUUUGCAGAUAGGGUUCCAGCAGAACUGAAAGGUAUUUACUUCUGUCACGUAUACACUGUUAAGGAAGAAAUUAUCCAUGACACUUGUUAAAGAAAGUAAGGCGGACUUUAUUCAACAAGCUGCCAUCAAGGUGAAUUGCUGUGUUGUGGACAUUCCUUAAGAUCAAAUGUACAUAAAACCUGUCUGUAUCUAUGUCUCUUCUUAGGGUGUCCAUUUGUGUGCAUUAUUUGCUUUCUGUUUUGUUCUUUGAACCCAUUGUAACACAAUAGACUUAAAAUUAUUUACUAAAUUUGCUUUGAUUAAGGUAUUGGUGUUUAUAUUUGGGUCAUGAAAGAGUAACGUGUAAUUAGUCGCAACAGUUACAAGGGCAAGUUAGCGUCCUUACCUUUUUGCUGAGAUGUCUGAAAUAUUUACAGUUUCUUGUGAAAUCAAGCUGUGCCUGCACACUGUCCUGACACUGCAGUCACAAGUCACCAGAGAAUUUUAUACUGCCAGAGCCUCAUUCUCAGUCUUUGAUCCCUCUUUAUUUGCUGCUGUUGAUCACAGUAUCCUUCUUGAGACUCUUUUCUCACUUAUUUCUCUCAUCAUCUCUCUAAAAAUUAUCCCCCUGACCUCUGCUUGGGCUUUUCUUUCUUUCCCCAUCUUCUAGUGGGAUGGUAUGCCUCUUUGUGUAGAAUGCUUUGAGACAGAAAGCCUGAUUUAGUUCCACUAUGUGGGCACCUUCCAAAUAAUAAAACAACUGGAGGAGUGAAUGCUUACUCAGGACAAAUCUGCCUCAAUUUAUUCAUCGGGAAAAUGAGGAGUUUAAAUUGUAUUCCCCAGACAUUCAAACUGGGAUACUCAGAGCUCUAAGCUUUCACACCAGUACUUCAGGGACCACUGCAGAAGGUGAGGGAAAAAGCAUCCAUGUGGUAUGAUUCUAGACCCUCCCUCUAGGGACAUUUAAACUGAUAUUGCUUUUACCUGUUUGUUUUAUUAUUCAACAUGAGGUACCAUGUGAAACGAAAAAAGAAGUCAGCAAAAAAGAAUAAAAACUUUAUUAAAUG
Gorilla gorilla gorilla (western lowland gorilla) is the source of this 1141-nucleotide long non-coding RNA. RefSeq lists it as uncharacterized. The record is from RefSeq and is a predicted model, not a curated record. The transcript has 3 exons. Lineage: Eukaryota; Metazoa; Chordata; Mammalia; Primates; Hominidae.